AGAUGGCGACUGUGACAGCUGAAAAAUGCGGCAAUUCCAGUCAACUGUUCUUAUCAUAACAAACACAAUUUUGGCUUUUAAAAGUUUAUUAUUUUUUUCAGCUGUGAAACGAAUGAAUAAUAUCAAUCUUGUGGAAUGGCGACUUCACCAUGUGCCAUCAAGUAUUUGGAUCGUGAAACAAUUGGUAAAAUAUCUGCUGGUAAGGUAAUUCCUAGUCUUGCUAAUGUCGUCAAGGAAUUGAUUGAAAAUUCUCUUGAUGCUCAUGCUACCUACAUUGAAUUGCGAUUCGUUGAAUAUGGUAAGCAAUUGAUUGAAUUGUCUGAUGAUGGUUGUGGUAUUCAAGAAGAUGAUUUCCCUCAACUUGCCCUGCCUCAUUACACCUCUAAACUCAAGCAUUACCGUGAUUUGGGAUCUGUUAAAACAUUUGGUUUCAGAGGUGAAGCCUUAGCAUCCAUUGCUGAAUUGUCCGAAUUAUCAAUUAUAACUAGACAUGAAUCGAAAGAAGUAGCCAGUGAACUGAGUUUCAAUAACUUUGGGGAACUCAUCGGAGUCAAACCAACAGCAAGACCAGUCGGAACUACUGUGCGAAUCAAAAAUCUUUUCUACAGCUACCCAGUUCGAAGGAAAGAAUUUGAAACUACUUAUAUGAAACAAUUUAAUAACAUGAUGCAAUUCAUCUGCCCAUAUGCACUAGGGUUUACAAAUCUUCGACUGCUAGUUACUAAUUAUAUAAAUGGACGCAAAAAUGAAGUUCUUAAUAUCGAACCAAAAUCCAUUAAGGAUAAUAUUAUUCAAUUACUUGGUUGUAAACAGAUGAAAACAAUUCAAACAUUUGUCCAGUGUCCCAUUAGAGAUGCAGUUGCUUCUGAAUACAAGCUGAAUAGUUCAUAUAAAGAAGAUGAAAAAGAGAUUUCGAUUUCUGGUUAUGUUUCUCAUGGAGAUAAAGGACCUAGCAAAUUGAAGAAGGUGUAUUUUUUCAUGAAUCGUCGCCCUGCCAAUUAUCAACCGCUCGAAAAAUUUAUACUAUCGGUUUAUAAAGAGAUCAACCAGACAAUAAACCCAUUUGUGUUGUUAUUUGUAGAUUUGGGUAAACAUGAAAUUGACUUCAGUGUACAUCCAGAUAAGAGAACAUUUUCGUUGCCAAAUGAGAAUCUUUUAUUCGCCAUUCUCAAAUCAUCUUUAUUAACUAUGUUUGAAACGAAUACAGUUUGCCUGGAUUCGGUUAAACCUUCAGCUCUACCAAGUUCUCAAUCAGUGGUUAGUCUAUGCCCUUCAAUACCCAGUUCCUCAAAUAAAAGACCUUUGGAGGAUGAUGAUGAUUUACCCGAAUUAGAUGCAGAUGAACUUCGCUCUUUAAACUCAUUCGUCCAUACAACUUCACUCAGAUGUAGCUCACCAGCUGAUUCCUACAUGCGACACUCACCAAUCAGCAAACAAAAUCAGAAUCAAAACCAAGGCGGUACUCCUUUGCGACCUUCAAAUACUAGCUUAGACUUGCACACUCAGAACUUAGGUAAUUUGCAGUCCGAUGAAAUGAAUUCAUUUGAGGAAACUCCGUCUGAGGUUGGUGUUUUCAAUCCUGUCCGAAAUAUACUUAAUGAAUCUGAAAAGGAUGACGAGGAGAAUCAAUCGUUCCAAACCAGACAAAGAGAACCUCUCAUUCCACAUGCAUCUAAAGACCGGCCAAGAUAUGUUUCAGAGUUUGAAAAAGAAACCAGAUCGAAUAAAACAAUGAAUAGUUCUGGGUUGAGGAGUUUAUCGAAAUUUGCUUUUAGCAAAAACAGAAGAAAAGACCAAAAUAACAAGUCAGAUCAAAUGUCUAUCAAAGAUAUGUUCUCUACAUUGCCCAAAAAUCGAUCAUCUGAUGAUCUAGAUAAAACUAAUAACCUCAAUUCAGUAUCUUUAGAAACAUCUACAGAUAAUCAAAAUCCUACUUCCACACCUAUGACAUCAUCUCCAUCUGCUAAUGGUAAUAAUGUUAUGGCACUUCCUCCAAUUCCUGAUUGCAGUCAAAUUCCUAAAGAUGUCAUUUCAGUUGAUCUAACAGCACCAGAAUCAACAUCAUCGUCGUUAGAAGUUGUUAGUGAUCAAAGACUAAAUGCAAAGGACCGGAAAAGUCAAUCAAAGAAAAUUAUUACCGACACUCCAAUGAUUAUGAUUGAUAAAAAAAGAGUAAAAUUCUGUACAGAAAUUUCUGAAGAGAAACUUGCAGCUUACUAUGGUAAAGUAAACGCUCCACCAGUUGCCAAGAGUUCAGUUUUUUUCACAAAAUUAACUGAUUGCUCAGAUCAAUCUCAAGCGGAAGAUGAGUUGAAGCGACAGAUGAGAAAGGAAGCUUUCAGUGCCUUGGAUAUCAUUGGACAAUUCAACAAAGCAUUCAUCAUUGGCAAAUUAGAUGAUGAUGUCUUUAUAAUUGAUCAACAUGCAAGUGAUGAACGGUAUAAUUUUGAAGAUUUACUAGAAAAUACAAGUUUUGAAUCUCAACGCCUAGUUAACCCGAUUCCUCUGGGAUUGACGUGUUACCAAGAAUCAAUAGUUGCAAAUAAUUUAAAUACAUUUGAAAGGUUGUCUUUUAAAAUUGUGAUGAACGAUAAUGCUCCUCCUGGAUCGAAAGCCGUUCUGGUUUCUGUCCCUACAAGCCAAGAUGCUGUUUUUGGUAAAACAGAAAUCGAAGAAAUAUUGUCAAAAAUGGAAGAAACUGGAAGCGAUUGUUACAACUAUAAACCAGAAAAAAUGGUGCGAAUGAUUGCAUCUAGAGCGUGCCGUAAAUCAAUUAUGAUCAAUGAUCCUCUUGACCAUAAAAGAAUGCGAAAUGUUCUGAAUAAUCUUACAAAAUUAAAAAAUCCUUGGAUCUGUGCACAUGGUCGACCUACAGUUCGAUUCCUGUUCAAUAUCAAUGAGAUUAUCUUGUAAUCAUUUAAGACUUAAAUCUAAUGUAAAAAUUUUUAAAUUAAGAAAUGUUACAUAAUAUGCUGUUGAAUUUAGCUCGAACAUCUUUUCCAUCGACUUUGCCAAGCAAACAUUUAGUUGGAUUUUGAUUACCAAAGAUUAAUUUAUCACUACAAAUCGUUGAUCUAUUCAUUAAUUUUUCCACCUCUUAAGAUUAAAUCCGUUUUUUUACAUACUUUUAUGAUUUUUUCAAGUACCUAUCAACAUAAUUAAUUGCUAAGCAUUAUUAGCAUCACUCUUCUAUUUUUAGUUCAAUAUUUCACAAGAAUUGCGUUUUAAUAAAUUGAAUCUCGCUCACUAUUUUAUCAUAUGCUCUCAAAUUUUCACUGCCAUCUAUGAACUAUUCACUAUCAUAAAGUAUGAGUAAUUUAAAGAAGCUGAUUCAAAUAUACUUCAUAGAUUCUUAUUUCUCAUUAAAAAUUUAUUUCUAAUCAUAUUUAAAGGUUAUUUUACGUGUUAAAUUUGAAUAAACAAUGCGUUUAUUGUUUUGUGUUUUUAAAUAAAGCUUUAAAUUAUUAAUCUUAGUUAUUUCAUCGACUUGUUUCAUCUGUUUAAUCAUCUUCAUAUCUUUUCAACGUUGUCGCCAUCUUUUGGCUUUCCUCCCCCUUUUCCCCUAGCUUCAAGCCUUCAUUUUAUUGUAUGUUUGCACUGUAAGUUAAUCCAGGAUCAAAAUGGAUGAUUAUGAAUGUAGACCCAUGGAUAUAUCAGACGAUGAAAAUGAAAAUCAGAUUUCGGCCAUCAGUUAGUUUAAAUUAUGUAAAGAAUGAACUAGCUUUCGAGGACGCCGAUGAGAUGCUACAGUUCUUAAACCAAUUUGCCAUUGUAUACCUUGAUCCACAAACGAUCGACUGCAAGAACAGCCAAGUAACCCCGAGUACUCAAUGAAAAAGUCUAAUGCAAAAUAUAUUUAUGACUUUUUCACGCUACCGGGACUAUUUUUUUGUUUUAAAAGGAUGAACUUAAAGGCUUCCAAAACUGUGCUCCUUAACUCCAAAACUUAAACUUGGUAUUGGUUGAAGGGCAUUUACAUCACCUAAAGCAGAUAGAAGUGUAAAAGCUAAGGCCAAUAAGACUGAGCCAAUUAAAUCACCAAAAGCUGUUAGAAAAGGUAGAGCUGAAUUAUCUGGAUUAAAUCCUUUUCUCCAUAUAAAAUGAACCAAUGUGUAGGAGACUUGAAUCAGUAUGGAAACUUGAAUAACUGCAGCAAUCAUAUAAACAGUUAAAAAUGUACCUGUCAUUGUAAAAUGAUCUCGAACCAAUUUUAUUACAAAAAUAAAUAAUAAAUGACUAGGUAUUGAUAGUAAUAACAAAAAUCGAGCCAUAAUUGUAUGAUCACCUGUAAAAGAAAAGGUAAGAAUUAACUAUCAACUGAUUGUCAUUUAUCAUAAAUAAACUGUUAUAUUCACAAUUAAA
Molecule: non-coding RNA, 4362 nt
Organism: Tetranychus urticae (two-spotted spider mite)
Lineage: Eukaryota; Metazoa; Arthropoda; Arachnida; Trombidiformes; Tetranychidae
Source: RefSeq, a predicted model, not a curated record